CGUGCAGGCGGAUGGGUAAGUCAAAUGUGAAAUCGUUCGGCUCAACCGAACAAUUGCAUUCGAUACUGCUUGUCUUGAGUAUAGGAGAGGAAAGUGGAAUUCCCGGUGUAGCGGUGAAAUGCGUAGAUAUCGGGAAGAACACCAGUGGCGAAGGCGACUUUCUGGCCUAUAACUGACGCUGAAACGCGAAAGCUAGGGGAGCAAACG
Molecule: ribosomal RNA, 207 nt
Filed under: uncultured bacterium
Lineage: Bacteria
Description: partial 16S ribosomal RNA
Rfam family: Bacterial small subunit ribosomal RNA
Source: RNAcentral